This 253-nucleotide ribosomal RNA is filed under the name uncultured bacterium. RNAcentral's name for it is "partial 16S ribosomal RNA". It matches the Rfam family "Bacterial small subunit ribosomal RNA", at positions 524 to 776 of the family's 1533-position model. The record is from RNAcentral.
UACGUAGGGGGCAAGCGUUGUCCGGAAUUAUUGGGCGUAAAGAGCUUGUAGGCGGUCUGUCGCGUCUGCUGUGAAAAUCCGGGGCUCAACCCCGGACUUGCAGUGGGUACGGGCAGACUAGAGUGUGGUAGGGGAGACUGGAAUUCCUGGUGUAGCGGUGAAAUGCGCAGAUAUCAGGAGGAACACCGAUGGCGAAGGCAGGUCUCUGGGCCAUAACUGACGCUGAGAAGCGAAAGCAUGGGGAGCGAACAGG